This is a long non-coding RNA of Fundulus heteroclitus (mummichog), 1171 nucleotides long. RefSeq lists it as uncharacterized. The record is from RefSeq and is a predicted model, not a curated record. The transcript is spliced from 2 exons. NCBI's taxonomy places the organism in Eukaryota, Metazoa, Chordata, Actinopteri, Cyprinodontiformes, Fundulidae.
UUGUAAACCACAGAUUCCUUUUUAGCUGCACCUUGGUCAGUGAGGCAAUUACUCUAAUAAUUAUCCCAAUUUGGGAAACAAGUAAGAUUUUUCAAAUUCACGUUCAAUCUGAUCUAUUAAAUAUUGUUGGAUCUUGAUAGAAAACUGACAUUUUCUGAGAAUUAUACCUGUACAUUUUUAUUAAUGAAUAAUGUUGAAUGGUGUGUACAUAGAUAAAACGGUAAAGAGCAUAUAUCACCACUUUUGGUGCCUUUCAGAAAUGUUACUGUUUGUAGUCAUGUUCAUUUUGAUGUCAAAAAUAAAGAAAUAUGUGAAAAAGUAAAUGAAAGAGAGCAAAUACAACAACAUUUUCAGGAGGACAGCUUACUUUUUAGUUUGCAAAACAUAGUGGCAAGUAAACUGAAGGAGCUGAAUGUCUCACAUUUUCUUCAGUAGCAUACCUGUUGAAGUGUCGUGAACAUGAGCACACCACUCAAUAAUGUCUGUCUACAGUUCAUUUUCUCACAGUAACUUUGAUUUAGCUUCAAUCAUUUAGCUGUGAAAUGUAUUGUCAAGUUAAUACUAUGUGUAAGUGUUGAAAGGGCUUUAAUUAAAUGGUUAUUAAUUUAAUGUAAUAAAGGAAUGCAAGGAUGUCAGCUGACAUUUAAAAAAAACGAUGGAGCAUUUGUGUACGGCUUGCCACCUAUCUCUGUUUAAAUUAUUGCUUUUUUUGCCAUUAUCUCUCUUUUUUAUCUGUAAUAUGUUGUUGCCUUUUGUAUGAUAACCAAGCUCUUCAUUGUAUAGUGUAAAAGUGUACAAUUCAUGAUUUAAAUGGGCAUUCAAGGAUGCCUCCACCGCCUUACCUGUUCACGGUACUUUUGUUUCUACGUUAUCCUCUUGGAGUCGUUGUCCAGAGCUGUCAGCAUUGCAGGAAAGGAGGACUUCUCGUGAGGCUCUGUUGCUCCUGUUGAAUUUAAAAAGCCGAACUCUGAAAUUGAACCCUGGUUACGCAACAAUACCACACAUGAAUGACAGUGGAAAAAAGACAGCUUGCAUGUAACUCUGGUCUCUAUGAGAAAUGGUAUCUCAGUACCAUAAUGUUAAAGAAACUAAAACACAAUUUUUUACCCAAACAUCAUAACUAACAGCUUUCAUUUAUUUAAUAAAGUUAGCUUUGUGUUAAACCAACUCA